AAGUCGUAACAAGGUUUCCGUAGGUGAACCUGCGGAAGGAUCAUUAACACGUAUCCAACGUUAAACAACCCCGUGAACCUUCAGCCUGCUCUCGUAGCCCACGCGGCAACAGCAAUCCCGGUAAAUCAUUGACGACCAGUUUUGAUUCGGGACCUCUGUUACGAUGUGAGAAGUUACAGUUUGCUAGAGGUCGAUCACCGACCGGCAGACAUGUCACAGGGUCCCCAUGCCCCUUACCUCACCCCAUUACUAAUGACUAGCUUAGCGGUAACGCGCUGAGUAAAAAAAAACCGAACAACUGUUAACAAUGGAUAUCUUGGUUCUC
RNAcentral lists this unclassified non-coding RNA (325 nucleotides) under fungal sp. Its description in RNAcentral is "partial internal transcribed spacer region". The stretch from base 1 to 46 matches the Rfam family "Eukaryotic small subunit ribosomal RNA", at positions 1786 to 1831 of the family's 1831-position model. The record is from RNAcentral. Lineage: Eukaryota; Fungi.